UAUGGAAAAAAAUACUGUCUUCAUAUAUUUUUGGUAAUAUGGUCCAAAAGUCUCUACCAGAACUCCGUAAAGGUUCUGACUAUGAUGAUUUAUUUAUUACUA
Regulatory RNA element from Clostridium sp. 7_2_43FAA, 102 nucleotides. It matches the Rfam family "Purine riboswitch aptamer". From Rfam's summary of the family: Riboswitches are metabolite binding domains within certain messenger RNAs that serve as precision sensors for their corresponding targets. Allosteric rearrangement of mRNA structure is mediated by ligand binding, and this results in modulation of gene expression. NCBI's taxonomy places the organism in Bacteria, Bacillati, Bacillota, Clostridia, Eubacteriales, Clostridiaceae. The record is from Rfam.